Long non-coding RNA from Arachis duranensis, 619 nucleotides. RefSeq lists it as uncharacterized. The record is from RefSeq and is a predicted model, not a curated record. Lineage: Eukaryota; Viridiplantae; Streptophyta; Magnoliopsida; Fabales; Fabaceae. The transcript is spliced from 2 exons.
GUCAGCAUGAAAUGCAAGCCUGAUCGUGUUGAUGGUGGCUACGUACUUAAUGGAAACAAGAUGUGGUGUACUAAUGGUCCAGUCGCUCAAACAUUGGUUGUCUAUGCAAAGACAGACAUAACAGCUGGGUCAAAAGGAAUCACUACAUUCAUCAUCGAUAAGGGAAUGCCAGGGUACUUAUAGUGAACCUAGUCAAAUUUAAAGUGUACUAAAGUGUCUGCAUUUCAAGCUUACAGAUCAGUUAUUUCUUGAAAAUAAAUAUUAAAGCAGUAAUUUUAUCAAAUAUAAAAGGCUGGUUACUGGCUUCUUGUCGCAACUUCGUUGCUUUCUUUGUGUUAUUAUGCUUAUAAUUAGCCUUCAAAAUUUGUAGGCAAAACAAUGUUUGGGAGGAAAUGGAUAUAUGAAUGAGUAUCCAACUGGUCGUCUUCUGAGAGAUACCUAACUAUAUGAGAUUGGUGCAGGAACUAGUGAGAUCAGAAGAAUGAUUAUUGGACGUGAACUCUUCAAGGAGCAGUAGUGAAAUGUUCAUUAUGUAACAGUAAAUGUUCAUUCAUCAAAGGGGAAUAAAAUCAGUAAUGAGAAUCCAUUAUUAAUAAAGGAAAGCUAUUUUUACCAAAAA